This is a long non-coding RNA of Callithrix jacchus (white-tufted-ear marmoset), 880 nucleotides long. RefSeq lists it as uncharacterized. Lineage: Eukaryota; Metazoa; Chordata; Mammalia; Primates; Cebidae. The record is from RefSeq and is a predicted model, not a curated record.
UUUAGGGGCUGAUGUGUACACGUGAGUAAUUAUUUUGGACUCUGGGGAACAAGAGCCAAUUGACAGUUGAGAUCAUAUCAACUACCAGAAGGCAGGGGAAGGAAAGAUCUUUUGUGGUCAGUUGAUGACAGAAGAACUUUAUGGCGAUGGGAUUCCAGUGGAAUUCUUAAGGAUGGGCUGGGUUGAAAUAAGUUUCUAAGAGGGAAAAGGAGUGCAAGCUGGAAAGCAAAUAAGAAACUCAAAGCCUGUAAACUGGCCGAUGUGACUGAAACAAAGAAGUACCUGCCAUAGGGAGCUAAAAGGCAGAGGAAGGUUAAUAUGUUUAAACAAGCUGCCAGUUGUAAUAGAGAUGUCCUGCAUUAAGCACUUUACAGAUCUGAGUGCACCUUUGCUAUGAAGGAGGAACAGUUACAAAUGGAGAGAUGGAGGAGGCAGAAGUUCAGUCAUGAAGCCAGGAUUUGAAUCCAAAUGGGUCUGACAUCAGAUUCCAUACUGCCUCCAAACCAUGCAGCCACACUUUCCUGCAAAGUACUGAGAGAAGAAAACAGAAAAAAAUCACAGAGAAGUUCCUUAUCUCAAGAGAAAAGGAAAAGCUGAAUGAAGUGACUUUAAAAGAAAAAGGGCUGGGCAUGGUGGCUCAUGCCUGUAAUCCCAGUACUUUGGGAGGCCAAGGUGGGCAGAUCACGAGGUCAAGAGAUCGAGACCAUCCUGGCCAACAUGGUGAAACUUCAUCUCUACUAAAAUACAAAAAUCAGCUGGACGUGGUGGCUCAUGUCUUACUCCCACCUACUUAGGAGGCUGAGGCAGGAGAAUUGCUUGAACCUGGGAGGCAGAGGUUGCAGUGAGCUGAGAUCGUGCCACUACACUCCAGCCUGGUGAC